This 777-nucleotide ribosomal RNA is filed under the name uncultured Neocallimastigales. Its description in RNAcentral is "partial large subunit ribosomal RNA". It matches the Rfam family "Eukaryotic large subunit ribosomal RNA", at positions 20 to 643 of the family's 3401-position model. The record is from RNAcentral. Lineage: Eukaryota; Fungi; Neocallimastigomycota; Neocallimastigomycetes; Neocallimastigales.
CAUCACUACGCUAGAUGCAUAUCAAUAAGCGGAGGAAAAGAAACUAACAAGGAUUCCCCUAGUAACGGCGAGUGAAGCGGGAAGAGCUCAAAUUUGAAAUCUUAAAGGUUUUCCCUUGACGAAUUGUAGUUUAAAGAAGUGUUUUCUGUUGGAGUUUUCGGUAAAAGUUCUUUGGAAUAGGACAUCAUAGAGGGUGAGAAUCCCGUAUUUGACCAUUACUUUCCAGCUGUGUGAUACGCUUUCAAAGAGUCGGAUUGUUUGGGAAUGCAGUCCAAAAUGGGUGGUAAAUUUCAUCUAAAGCUAAAUAUUGGCGAGAGACCGAUAGCGAACAAGUACCGUGAGGGAAAGAUGAAAAGAACUUUGAAAAGAGAGUUAAACAGUACGUGAAAUUGUCAAAAGGGAAGCGUUUGACACCAGUGUUGUUUAGUUGAAAAUCAAUUCAAUAAUUUUUGAUUUUAAGUAGUAUUGACUUCAUCAGCUUGCUGCUUUCUUUUCGGAAAUUAUUGAAUGCACUUUUCAGUUAACAAGUCAACAUCAAUUUCUUUUGUUGUAAAAGGGUAAGAGGAAGGUGGCUUACGCUUCGGCGUAAGUGUUUAUAGCCUUUUACCUCUGCAAUCGGAGAGAUUGAGGACAGCAGCGUAGACUCCUUCGGGGGUUAGAUACACUUGUGCUAAGCUAUAGCCUUGUAUAGACAACUUGUUGACUAUGAUUAAUCAUGUAGCUUACUCGCUUAUGCUAUUUUACCUACGCUUAGGAUGUUGAACACGCGCGUGCUCG